UUGUAGUCUGCAACCCGACUACAUGAAGCUGGAAUCGCUAGUAAUCGCAGGUCAGCAUACUGCGGUGAAUACGUUCCCGGGUCUUGUACACACCGCCCGUCACACCAUGGGAGCCGGAAAUGCCCGAAGCCAGUGACCCAACCUUAGGGAGGGAGCUGUCGAAGGUGGAGCCGGUAACUGGGGUGAAGUCGUAACAAGGUAUC
This 203-nucleotide ribosomal RNA is filed under the name uncultured bacterium. RNAcentral's name for it is "partial 16S ribosomal RNA". It matches the Rfam family "Bacterial small subunit ribosomal RNA", at positions 1298 to 1500 of the family's 1533-position model. The record is from RNAcentral.